UAACCAAAGGUUCCCAAGAUCCAAAUUAGUUUUGACACAAAUCCUUCCAUGAAUCUGUCACUGGCCUUCAGCACCGUGGUUCUCCUAUGGAUUAAAAUCAGGAUGUGAAUGACAGUGAUCUCAGCAAAGCAGAGACCAUCUUGCAGCUCUCUGGAUCUUCUGUGGUAGCAUCAGUGCUACUCAUUGAAAAUACACAGCUGCACUGGUGAAGCUGUCAGUGAAAGGAAGCAAGAGGUUUUGGCAGCUGCACAGAGGGGAAGAGGUGAGGCCCUGGACUCAUGAGAAGGCGUUGGAGACAGCUUAGGCUUGGAGAUCUCUGGAGUCUGAUGACAUUUUUGGCGAUCUGAAGAAAACUCAUUUCAUCCCCACCCUUCUGUGAAUAAGGCAGAGGGCAUCACCAGCUACCUUGCAGUUACUGCACUUCGCAAAGAGUACCACAGGCACGUGUUGUUCAUCAAUG
Non-coding RNA from Taeniopygia guttata (zebra finch), 460 nucleotides. Lineage: Eukaryota; Metazoa; Chordata; Aves; Passeriformes; Estrildidae. The record is from RefSeq and is a predicted model, not a curated record.